UACAGAGGGGGCAAGCGUUGUUCGGAAUUACUGGGCGUAAAGGGCGCGUAGGCGGCCCGCUAAGUCGAACGUGAAAUCCCCAGGCUCAACCUGGGAACUGCGUCCGAUACUGGCAGGCUUGAAUCCGGGAGAGGGAUGUGGAAUUCCAGGUGUAGCGGUGAAAUGCGUAGAUAUCUGGAGGAACACCGGUGGCGAAGGCGGCAUCCUGGACCGGCAUUGACGCUGAGGCGCGAAAGCGUGGGGAGCAAACAGG
RNAcentral lists this ribosomal RNA (253 nucleotides) under uncultured bacterium. RNAcentral's name for it is "partial 16S ribosomal RNA". It matches the Rfam family "Bacterial small subunit ribosomal RNA", at positions 524 to 776 of the family's 1533-position model. The record is from RNAcentral.